This 6013-nucleotide long non-coding RNA is filed under the name Sus scrofa (pig). RNAcentral describes it as "lncRNA (ENSSSCG00000053211.1)". The record is from RNAcentral. Lineage: Eukaryota; Metazoa; Chordata; Mammalia; Artiodactyla; Suidae.
AUUUUUCUGUCAUGUGCAGCCUGAGGGCUUAUGCCUAUCUGAGCUUUAUUUGACAAUUACCACUUGCCAGCAUAAUUAAAUGAUAAUUUAUAAAUACUAAGAAAGCAUAAUGGGGAAGAGCAAAUAGGUGCUUAUCAGGGCAUUGAAUAAAGUUGAUCUGCUUCAGUGGCAAUUUUCAUCUCUUAUCUUGGUUGUUAACUGGUCUCACUUUUGUGUGUGUUUUGUUUAGGUUUGAUAUUUGUUAAGGUGAUAUUAUCUACCUACAUAUACACAUUCCCCCCCCAUAUAGAAUUCUAAUACUUCUUUUGCUGUUCUUUUUGCAGCUAAUGUAUUUAUGAAAUAUUGCUUGUAUUUUAAUUCACAAAGUAAAUUUAGCACCUAGAAUUUUACAUAUUGCUAGAGAAACCUAGAAUUUCCUUAGCAAUUUUUCUGUUUACCUCCCUCUCACCUUUUUUUUUUUUCAGUGAAUAAGUUCUUUUCUGCAUUGUGUCUGUGAUUUUCUUUUAAUCGGUUUUUUUAAUCACCCAGGCUUUGCAGUUAAUUACAUUCCAGAGUCUCUUCAUCUAUUUCCUAGAAUACUGGCAGAUUUUUUUGUAAGAGAGAAAGCGCACAUGUAAGCCAGGACUGGCGAGAAGGGCUUCCUAACCUUGCAGUGAUAAGAACGAUACUUUAUAUGCAGCAUGGAAAUUUUGCUAUGUUCCCACUGAAUAUAGAAAUUAUCCGAAGAAGAAUUCUGUAGGGUAGACAGCUUUUGUCCUAUCAGUGUCUCUUCUCAAGGUUCCUUACCUAUUAUAAAUAUUAGGGCAGUCUCUGCAGAAGCUGUUGUUAGGCCAUGGACAGAAACACAGAUUUGUCCUGGGUAACCUAGAUAAAGCAGUACAAGAGCAAUCCUCUAUUUGAAUGGAAACAAAUCAAAUCAAUAGAAUGACACACCUUUAGAAUAUAUAUUGAAUUUCCACACCUUUAGAAAAGCAUGUUUGAAGAAGGCAAAUGGGUGGGGAAAGCAAGAUAUUGUUGGUGGGCCACAAAGCUCCUGAGGUCCUUUUUUUUUUCUGUCAUGAAAUUAAAUAAUUUUCUUCACUACUGAUUAGAGUUGUGGUUUUAGUGAAGAGUGUGGGAAUGGCUUAUCAGAGGAAUAACAAAAUAAAAGGCUUUGGUGUUUAAAGUUGUUAAUUCCUUGAAUUAUUCAGCAUUUUGUCCUUAUAAAUAGCAAUUAUUUGCCUUUUUUAGUGCUGAAAAAUAAUCUUUCAUAUUCAGAUAUUUAAAUAUACAGAGCCAUCACUGGGCCAAAAAAAAAAAAAUCCUAAUAUCAGAACAGAUUUUUAUACAAGGAAUAAUUUGAAAGUGGUGGAUUAGUUUCCACCUUUUGAAACACAGUGCUUUCUAUAAUCUUCAAACAUUAUUUAGGAUAAUGGAAGCCAUCAUCCUGGUUCUCAAAUGUUAGCACUUCCAUUAGAAUUUGCAGCUACCUCUUAUUUUUUAUAUUAAAAUACAAGGCUUAAAAGGUAUUAUCUUACUAAAGGGGGGCAAUUGUAGAGAUGAUUUGAUUGAAUAAAGGAAAAAGCUGUACAGGCCUUUUAAGAUCAAGGAUGUAUUGAUGGAAAGCUAUCAUUAGAGACAAUUAAUGUUCUCCAAGGGAAGAAAUUGAUUAUGGACAAAGAUGGACCCUAAGGAGCAGAUAUGUCUUAAUGCUCUAAGGCCUUAAGGAUUAUGCAUUUCAUUCACAGCAUCUGUAUUUUAACCCUUUGUAGUGACUAAAAUACUAGCUUAUUCCUGCAGAAUGUCAUGAAUUAAUUUUUUUUAAAGAUGUUCAUAGUGAUUGACAUUUGGUUCCUUAAAUAAUAGUAAAAUAAUUAAAUUUGCAGCAUCGUUUCUUGGUAUUGCCCUUUAGAGUAGAUCUAGACAUAAAUAUAUAGAAGUAAUAAAAGUAGAUGGUGAUAGCCAUUCUUCAGCAUUAUGGAAGUAUAGUAAUGCCCAAUAAUUACAUUAAAGAUGUACUCUCAUACAGAGGCCCUGAACUUCAGCUGCAUUUAUGUUUUCAAAUAACAUAUCCCUUUAACUUUCCUUGUCCUUUCUAUAGAUCUUGUACAAAGCAUUCAUCACAUUUUUAGCCAGUCCCUAGCAGCCGUGGAUCACAAUUGGGUACUUAAUAAGGUGGCAACCCCACUGGGAACAUUUCACAUAAUUAUUCUUAGCAGAAAGAAGAUUGUUAUGGCUUUUUUUUUUCCUUUUUUUUGAAUUUGGCAAAAUUCCAAGUGAUUUAGUUUGGGCUCCUAAAAACCAGUUGUAUACCAUUGGUGAAUUAUACUUCAUGUUUAGUGUGUAUCCUUAUCUCCCAGUAAAAUACUAUAUUAUAGGCCAGCAGAGUCAGUUUAAUUGUACGGUUGGCUUCCUCAAAUCUGGGACUAGCCCCAGAACAAGUUAGUGAUAAAAACUGGUUUUUUUGGCCAAAAAUUUCAGAGUGUCAAUCUGAACAUGGGAAUGUUUUUAGAAAUCAAUUUCUCCUAAGACUUCACUGAACUCUCUGACAGUACAUUACGAUUAUUGCUAAAUAAUUAGAAGCUCACGCAUAAUAAAUAGCUUGUCCAGAGAGCUCUGUAAUUUUAAGUAUCAGUUAAGGGAAGGGAGGUUAGACCCUGGGCCCUAACUUUGGACUUACAGAGUUUAAAAAUAAUUUAUUUAGCUAAACUGUAUCAUUAAAACAAUUUAAAUUCUCAUAAUUUAAAGGUGUAUCUUGAUGUUCUUAGACCUUAAAGAUAAUGUAUUUCAUUCAUCAUUGAAUGGAUUUUUUCAGAAAUUUUGAACAAUUUGGAAAUAAUUAUUUUAAAGAAUAGUGGGUGAAUAUGCACGAUACGUCCUAUCAUGGUGCAACUGGGUUAUGAGUUUAAGUCUCCCAACUGCUAUGGCCAGCUAGUGUUUCUGAGCACUCAACACUUACAUCAGUUCAAGUAUAUGUAUUUUGGUGACUGUGUGAGUGGCUUUUUCUAGUAAGACAAGCAUCAUCAUAUGUGAGAAGAUAGUUUCCUAUAUGGUUCCUCUUAAAAACAACAAAUAGAGCACAGGACAUUAUAUAUCUAAAGGUCUAAAUUAAAGAGAGGUGAUGAAUAAUUUUUCGUGUAAUUCUGAGAAAAAAAUUACAGAUGUUUUGUCUAUAAUUUUUAUUGGCCACAUUGCUGAUGAGAAGUGGCAUUACAUUAAUGACAUUUUAGAAAAGGAGUGUGAUUUAUGAGAAGGGUGACCAUAAGUAGGAACUCCAAACUAACUAAAUGCCUCUGAAGCUUUGAACCUGAGUGUCAGGGGAGCUAGUGAUGCCACUAAUAAAAGUAAAUGAGGGAGAGGAAUGAGCUAGGGUGAGGCAUACUGCUUUUGAGUGUCUGGCCAAAUCAAGGCAGAGAUGCCCAUUAGGCAAUUGGAAGAAGAGUAGCAUUUAGGAGAGGGGUCAACGUUUAGAAUGCCUGUUCAGAGAUAUAAGAAAGAAUCAAAGUGGUAAGAAAAAGAACAGGAUAAUGCUGUGAAAUAAACCCAGAGAGAGGAAACUUUCAAGGAGAGAGUAGUCAAGUACUAUUAAUGACUACUCUCUCAGGGAGACCAAGGAAAAUGAGAACCUAGAAAAACGCCACUGGGUUUGACCAUUGGCAGUUCAUUAGUAGGCUGGGAAGUCAGAUCUGCUUAAAUUUAAAUCCUAGUUCCCCAAUUAUUGGAGAACUAUGUAUUCUUAAGGGAAGUUACUUUAUCUAGGCCUAACUCAUUUACUCAACUCCUCCAAACAACCCUGAGGAGUCAUAAAGUUAUUAGGACACAGCUGAGAUGCAAAGAAGUGAGUAACUCCCCCAGCCCCACCACCUGAAAAACAGAUAGUAAAGGCCAGAUAGGGAUUAGAACCACAGCUUGUGAAUCCUCUUCCUGUUUCAUAGAUCGGUAGCUGGAGAUGCAGGAAGAUUAAACAGGUUGAUUAAAGAGGCGGAGCCAAGAUCUGAACCCAUACCUAUCUGAUUCUCAAUAUAUCUGUUCACCAUGUCCUCUGCAGUUACUGACUAUGAGAUUUUGAAGGGGGAACAGUUUAUAGGGUUCAAAAAUACUGAACAUAUUGGCUUAAAGCUGCUAGGUUUGGUGAUCUAUGAUCUCCAUAGCCUGACUGAGUUGGAAGAAUACAGAGUAUAUUUUAUGGUCUAGCUGUAUUGGUAACAGUGGGUAACUUGGUAGAACUAGAGUCUCUGCCCUUCCCAGACCUGCUGACUCACAAACUCUGAGAAUGGAACCUGGGAAUCUGUGUUUUAACAAGCCCUCCAGGUGAGAUGCUCAUGUAUCUGAAGUCCAAGAACUACUGUCUUAAUCUACCUUGCUUCCAGUUAUCCAUGCUUCUAUUGGUGACUAUUGCCAAGCCACCAAGUGGAUCUGAUUGUGGCUACAACUUGCUUUCCAGCUUUGACUGCCAUCAGAAGCAACUGAGAAGGUGUAAAGGUUACUGAAACCUAGGUGCUGUUUUCAUAAAUUCCUCUUUAGUUGGCUUGGGUAUGGUGUAGGCUCUGGGAUUUCUAAAACUUCCCCGGGUGAUUUUCCCAGCAAAGGCUGGGAACUUCUGGUCUAGAACCAUGGUUCUCAAACUCUAGUAUGAAUCAGAAUUCCACCUGGAGAGCUAGUUAAAAGGCAGAUUGUUGGGGCCUCUCCCUCAGAGUUUCUAAUUCGAUAGAUCUGAGAUGGAGCCAGAGAAUUUUUAUUUCUAAUGCUUCCAUGUGAUACUAAUGCUGCUGGUCUGGGACCCACACUAUGAAAAUUGCUAGUCUAGAAAUAUGUUCACUUGGGGCGAUUGGAUGAAUUGAGCUGUAAUUUCUGGAUAGAGCGCACUCAUUCCCGCCCCCAGGUGUAGGUAAGAGUCCUUGCCCAAGUAUCUUCAUGAUGUGUCAUGUCUAUACUUCAAAGGCACGGGAGACUUAGUCCAGAAAUAUGUGCACCUGGGCAGGGCUUCUGAAACUUCAGUGCACAGAUCAUGAGGGAUCUUGUUAAUGCAGGUUCUGACUCAGUGGGUCAGGGACAGGCCUAAGAAUCUGCGUCUCUGACAAGCUCCCUGGUGAUGUGGAUGCUGCUCGUCCAAGGACUUGGUGAGUAGCAAGGCACUAAAAAAGUGAUUCUCAUAUUUGUCUGAUCAUCCCAAUCACUGAGAUGCUUUUCUCUAGGUUUUUGGCUUCACCUGAGUCCUAUUGAAUCAGUAUAUCCAGGGGAAGGAGUCUUGAUAUCAUAUAUCUUUGUUAAGCAACUUAUUAAUUUAUUAAAAAAUACUUAUUGAGAAUUUACUCUGUGCUGGGAUCUGUGCUAGAUGCAGACAAGGAAGAUGCCUAGUUCCUGAUCUCCUGGGACUUACAUUUUAUUCAGAGAAAUAAACAAUAAACAAGCACUUUUAUAAAGGUAACUUAUGAUAGUGACCACUGUCUCAGAGCACACAAAGCAGGGCCGUGUGUCCAAGUUCUGUGGUGAAGCUCUUCAAGAAAGGCCUUCUAAGGAGGAGACAUCCUGAUUACACUCAGUUUCAUGAAGGUGGUGGGAAAGGAGAAGAGGCUCUUAGGGGGGUACUGAGCUUGGCUGAUUUCCAGGAAUAUAGAGGAGAUGGGGGCCACAAGUAGAGCAAUUGCGUGCCCCCCAUGAUUUUUACUUCCUUGCAUUUGGAAAACACAUCUAAACUCUUAGCAGCUGCCAGAGAAUAGUGUAAUAAUACUUGUUGAUAAAAACAUCAUCAAUCACUGCCAUCACUGAUCCCUGGAAGAGGAAUGUGGAAGCUGUUAUAAAGUCCCUGAAUGGCCAAUAAAAAGAAAUUAUCUCCAAAAUUCAUAGGAUAAAAUUAUAAUCAUUUCCCACUCAUUAUUUAACUAUGCAGAAGUGAUCAUCUACACAGUAGCAAAAGGAUCAAAGAAUUUAUAUUCCACUUAGAGAAUGUUUCUACAACUAAAUACUUUAGGAGGGUUUAUGUGACUUCCCAGGAUCCCUAACUGUCUCAUUAAAAGGAACAAGAGCAGUGAAA